Molecule: non-coding RNA, 673 nt
Organism: Dermacentor andersoni
Lineage: Eukaryota; Metazoa; Arthropoda; Arachnida; Ixodida; Ixodidae
Source: RefSeq, a predicted model, not a curated record
UCAUCACAUGUGCAUUUGCAACACAUUGGCGGAGGCAAUACGAACUGCAUUUCUCGCUAGCUGGACAAAUCGGAAUGGCAAUGCAUCUUGGAGAACAAGACUCGAAUUGUGAAAGUCUGGUGGUUUUCGCCAAGUUUCACAGAACUUUGUUUUAUGUCAAGAUGGGCUAACACCAUGUCACCUGAUGCUGUCACUCUCUGUUCUAUCUGCAUCCCCUCUCGCCUCACACGUAAGCCUCACUGCAGUUUCUGCAGUGCUUCUGAGGGGAGUCACGGAUAAUUGCAGCUGUCAAGUGGCUAAUGUGACAACGGCCAGGGAGCUCCAGAGGGCAUUGUGCACACUCGAUGCGCCUAUGUGCCAGCCUUCCCUAUGAGCCACUACUUGUGCAGGGUGCCAUGGAUAAUGGAGAAGAUAGGGAAGUACAGGCUAGCAUCGCUGUCCAAGAUCCAUCCGGCAGCUUCUCUGUCACAGGUCCAUGUGUCCUAACUGCUGGUCUUCAAUGGGAGUUGACACUAGGAGGUAAACGCACCUCGUCUGUAAAAGAAGACUGUGCAAACAUACCCAGGACUUUCUAGUUAUGUCUGUGGUUUCAAUGUUGUGAUCAGAAGUCAUGUAUGAAGCGAACCCAGCUUACAGUAUUAUAGCCAGAAUACAAUGGUUUAGUAACAUUGAA